AUUAACAUAUGUUAACGUAUAGUUUUUAUAUUUAAAUGAAAUUGGUCGAUUUUAGUAAUAAAUAUAUAUUUAAUGUAUAUUUAUUUUAUUUAAAUGAAUUAUAAAUAUUUUAAUGAUUUAUUGAAAUCAAACACUUUAGAAUCAUAAUUCGAAAACGAAUUGAAACAUAGAAACACUUCGGUUUUGGAAAAGUAUUUCUAAUCGGGUUUGAAUUUAAAUACUCUCAAAUUGGAAAAGAAUCUUAAUCUUAGCCCAAUUAUUAUAGCCCACAAAGUAAAUAAACCCCCUAAACCCAAAUUUUACCCACAACUAAUUCUCUCUCCUCACUCAACUUCACACUCACGUGAAACCCUCAUUCUCUUUCACGUUAAUUCUCUUUUCUUCCCUCUUAGGCAACCACCACCGCCGCCGGUCAAGCAGCAGACGCCGCCGUUGUUCUCCUCCGACGCCCGACUUCCUCCUUCGUCCGCCACCAACAGCACCACCGCCACGUCGCCGCCCAGCCUGCAUCGCUGCGCCGCCGCGUUCCUUGCCCACACCAACCGACGUCCUCCCUUGUCCUCCCUCUUGCUCGACGGAACUCCUUUUCGUUCUUCAUAUCCCGCAAACACGAGUCAGUCGCAGCCACCACCGCUGCGCCACCAUCUUGCCUUGCCUGUCAGCCGCCGACUGUUCUGCUGCCGCCGUCUCAGACCACCGGCCAACCACCCUUUUGUCUCUCUUUUUGGUGGAGAAUUCUCCGUAGGCGACUUUUGAAUUAUUAAAGUGGUCUUGCAGUUUGUUUACACAAGUCUCUAAGGAUCAAUAAGCAUUGUCCAUCUACAGGUUUGAAGAUGAUGCAUCAUUGGGAUCGGGAUUAGAGAGCUUGUAGUUAUAUUUGUUUUAUUAAGUGAUUUGGGUUGUUAACUUAUAUUUGAAAGUUGUCGUACUAUUCGUAUUUCUUUAUUUCCGUUAAUUGGUUUUGGACUUAGUAUGUAAUCGAUUAUUUAUGAACCUAAAAGUUAGUUUUAUGUUUUCCGCUGCAAAAUUCUGAAUAAGCCGUACGUUUUCACACGGGCGAUAAUGCCUUGAUAAUUCUCUACGUUUUAUAUUAAAAGAUUAUUUUAGAAAAGAGAGAAUUGUCGGGGUGUUACAAAGUGGUAUCUAGAAGCUAAGGUUUUACUUUAAUAUUUUUUUUUAGGCGCCUAACUAUCUAGUUAUUUAAAAUAAAUUUCUUAAAAAUCGAGCUUCUACGCACUAUAUUGUUCAAAAAUUGGUACUUUUUUUUGGGGGGCCGAUUUCCUUUUAUCUUGUUUGAAAGUAUAUAAUAUUUCUUAUUUAAGUUCAGAAUUAACUUAUUUAUUCGAAACUUUUCGUUUAUGGGAAUUAAGUACGUUUUUCGUUAUUUUCGAAAUUAAAUUAAAUAU
Molecule: long non-coding RNA, 1406 nt
Organism: Spinacia oleracea (spinach)
Lineage: Eukaryota; Viridiplantae; Streptophyta; Magnoliopsida; Caryophyllales; Amaranthaceae
Exons: 4
Source: RefSeq, a predicted model, not a curated record